GGAGGGAUCAUUAUAGAGAAAACACUUAUAAAAAGUGAUGGGGCCUUUAUGGCUCUGUUUCUUUUUCAAACAAACGAUCGCAACUAUUGAAUGUUUUGGGGGGUUUGAUUGAGAGAGAGACAGCAAUGUCGCGCUCUUGAUCAAGAAAAAAAGUGCUUGCCUGAUAUUAUACAUGCCAUUGAUUUGGUUGGAGAAUAAUGUAAAUACAACUUUCAACAACGGAUCUCUUGGCUCUCACAUCGAUGAAGAACAUAGCAAAGUGUGAAAAUUAAUGUGAAUUGCAGAAUUCAGUGAAUCAUUGAGUUUUUGAACGCAUCUUGCACUUCUUGGUUAUUCCAAGGAGUAUGCCUGGUUGAGCAAUGUGAAUAUAUCUCAUCAAGAUCUGCCUUUUUUUGGGGUGUGAUUCUUGUUGGAAUUGAGUGUUUACCUUGUUUUCUUUCUUCGGUUAUAAAACAAGGUUCACUUGAAAUGAAGGAAAAAGUAAAACAACAAGGAGUGUUUGGCUGAUUGAAACAGACAAGCGGAUUGAUUUGGAAAGAAGCAGCUUGCUCUAUAACAACAAUGACUUGAUUAGUUGGUUGGUUUGGUGUGGGUUGAUUUGACAUGGGAAAAAAGUCUUGUUUAGAGCUGUUUUCUUGUUACUGCUCUGUCUUUUCAAACUAUAGCAUUAUAUAGCGUAAAAACUAUAUAUAAACAAGCACUAUACAAAACCUUGUUUUUGUUUUCUCUUUCAACAACUAGGAAAAAUCCCCCUGUGUAUAACAGGGAGAAAAACCUUAUUAUCAUUCUCAACUCAGGCAAGACUACCCGCUGAAUUUAAGCAUAUAAAUAAGCGGAGGAAAAGAAACUAACAAGGAUUCCCUUAGUAACGGCGAGUGAAGCGGGAAAAGCUCAACUUUGAAAUCUACCAAGAGUAAUAUUUUUGGUCGAAUUGUAGUUUCGAGAAAGAGUGGCUGAGAGAAGUCAGUUGGAUGCAAGUUCCUUGGAAUGAGACAUCAGAGAGGGUGACAAUCCCGUCUACCAUUCUUCUGUUGCUUCUCAUAAAGGCCCUCUUUUCAAAGAGUCGAGUUGUUUGGGAUUGCAGCUCAAAAUGGGUGGUAAAUUUCAUCUAAAGCUAAAUAUUGGUGAGAGACCGAUAGCGAACAAGUACCGUGAGGGAAAGAUGAAAAGCACUCUGAAGAGAGAGUGAAAAGUACGUGAAAUUGUUGAAAGGGAAACGCUUGAAACCAGUCAAGGUUUGUUAGAAUUCAGGAAAACUGUAUGCUCGGCAGGAUUGGCAGAGAGAUUGGCUUUUUUGUUGACUCCUCUGUUGAUUCUACGCUGUGGUUGCGCUUUCUGUACUUUUCUAAUAAACAAGUCAGCAUCAGUUUGGUGUUUGGGAAAAAGGUAACAGGAUUUGGUUGGGCUUUUAAUGGAUUUCGGUCCUUGGAGGCUCGAGCCUGCUUAUCCAUGAUACCGAACGCUAGACUGAGGACUGUAGUACGGGGCAUUGACUCGGAAUAGGUGGAUCUUGUGGUGCUAUCCUUGGUAAACAGCUUGCUGAUUAUCAAAGAUACGUACUCAAGACUCGCCAAAUCUGAGCUGGCUUCCGACUUUGGAUGUUGACGAAAUGGUUUUAAACGACCCGUCUUGAAACACGGACCAAGGAGUCUAACAUGGAUGCAAGUAUUUGGGUGAUUUGAAACCCAUAUGCGCAAUGAAAGUGACUUUUACCAGGGUAGGACAUUUCAGGCAUUUUUUUUGCCUGGGAUCGCACUAUCGACCAAUGUUGACUAGCUUCGGCUUGAUAGAUUUGAGUAAGAGCAUGUAUGUUGGGACCCGAAAGAUGGUGAACUAUGCCUGAAUAGGGUGAAGUCAGACGAAAGUCUGAUGGAAGCUCGUAGCGAUUCUGACGUGCAAAUCGAUCGUCAAAUUUGGGUAUAGGGGCGAAAGACUAAUCGAACCAUCUAGUAGCUGGUUCCUGC
This 1964-nucleotide unclassified non-coding RNA is filed under the name uncultured fungus. RNAcentral describes it as "sequence contains 18S rRNA gene, ITS1, 5.8S rRNA gene, ITS2, 28S rRNA gene". The stretch from base 784 to 1964 matches the Rfam family "Eukaryotic large subunit ribosomal RNA", at positions 1 to 961 of the family's 3401-position model. Lineage: Eukaryota; Fungi. The record is from RNAcentral.